Pyrus x bretschneideri (Chinese white pear) is the source of this 575-nucleotide long non-coding RNA. RefSeq lists it as uncharacterized. The transcript is spliced from 3 exons. Lineage: Eukaryota; Viridiplantae; Streptophyta; Magnoliopsida; Rosales; Rosaceae. The record is from RefSeq and is a predicted model, not a curated record.
UAGAUUAUGAAUCGUUUGCCAACGCAAAAAUUUACAUCUUUUAUGGUAGGAUUCAUGCCUUUUUUUUCUUAAUCAGUUAAUCUUUCAAUCUUUUAGAUUUUAUCAAUAAAUUUGAUUUGGGUUUCAUUUAUUUGUAAAACUAGACACUAUUUUGUGAAGAUUUUUCUUUAUAAUUCAGUAAAUAAUUGCUUCUUUGGCUGUAAAUUUAACUUUUGUAAAUUUCCAGGUUGUUCUAGACUUUGUCGAUACUGCACAGUUCUCUUCGCGGCCCAUUUCUAUUUCGUAUAGCAGAGCUUGAUAACAGAAGGAUUGCAAAAGAUCACUUAAUGCUUUGGAAAAUUGCUUGGUGAUUCUAUUUGGGUUGAGAGAUCAACACAGAAAGCGUAAGAAAUAGAUGAACAAAGCAGAUUGAGCUGAAUAAUCUCGGUCAAACAACAAUCAUAAUUGUAAGCUCAAGAGUAACUGUUUUUGUGUUAGUUGCAUGUCUUAGUAGUUAGCAAUCCUUUCCUUUACAUUUGAUGAAAUCAUUUAUGCAUUACUGAAGCUUUGUUAUGCACCUAGCUCUUUGCUUCUCU